GAAAAGCUCACAAAGCUACAGAUGUUUAUUUGAUUGCAGCUGUUGCUGAGAUGCAAGCUGAGGGCUGACCGUGCACAAGUUUGAACUUGUCAGCAAUCCAAACAUGAACAGAGGCCGCAUACAGACAUCUCUGUAGUUUCUGUCUCCAGCCAUUCAGGCUACGCAAAAAUGAUAAGUGAUAUAGUGAUAUAUAUAUAAAGUUAUAUAAUCUGUGACCUAAGCAGCACUUUGCAAACAUGACCCAAUGAAAGAAACAUAAUUAAACACUCCUCUUUUUGAAAUGUUCAUUGUUUGCAUGGCAGCUUCUUAAGCAUUACAGAGUCUGCUCCCUAAACAUCACAAUGAUUUAAACCAGCUUACUAUUACUUAAGAUCCACAUUCAAGAUGACCUCUUUGCUCACAUCAAGCUUUUGUAUCCACUUGAUCCAACACACAGCCAAGAAACCUGAUACACCAUUCUGUCUACCAACAACACACAGUCCCCAGAGGUGACAAUCAUAACACUUCCAAGUUACUGGAAAAAAACAUGACACACACAAUCAGAGGAGCGUUUGAAGCUGGUGGCAUCCUGCUCUCCUGAUAGUCUGAGGGAUUGAGUUACUGGUUCCAGGCAUCAAAGCGGUGAAAAAGCUGAAACAUAAGCCUGUGGAUCCCGUGUCAGGCUCAGCCCCUGGGCCCUCCAUCUGAGCCGCAGGAGAGUGGUAACCGAUAGGCCCGCAGGUAGCAGCGGUAUGACUUUAUCUGACGCCACAGCGGCCCCUGUGCUAAUUAGCUCCCAUUGUUUAUGGGGGGACUGUUUCUAAAGAGGAGCUUGGCAGCCACGCCUCACUGAUUCACCAUCAUCAUCCUCUUCAUGUACGAGUGCAAACCUUCUCAGCUGACUUAUUUAUGGAUUCUUUUGGCGUGCAGCUGUGGUUACUUUCUACUUAUUGAGACAAGGAAACCAUAAGAUGUCCUGUUUGAAGUAUUCCACAACCAUGUAGGGGACACCGCAAACAAGUGGAAGAAGGUGCUCUCAUUAGUUGAGACCAAAAAGCGACAAUAUGUGUGGUGGAAAACUAACACUGAACAUCAGCCUGAACACAGAAACCCCACUGUAAAAUAUGGCGAUGGCAGCAUCAUUCUGUGGGGCUGCUUUUCUUGAGACGGGACAGGCAAAGUUUCAGGGCUGUGAAUACUUUUGCGAGGCACUGCUGUGUGAUGGGAAGUGUGCAGCUGUGAGGCUUUUUAAGGUUCGACAACGAUGUCAGAAGGAUCCCCACAGGUUAUUUCAGACCUCUUAAACCGAGAGCAGUGCAAUCAAGCUGAGUGGAAGGGAGCAGUUCAGGAGAGUGACAGACCUGACCCAAAUCAAAUGCAUGUUACAAAUUAAGGGCUUCAAGACUUUACAGAUGUUUGCUGUUGACCAACCCCAACCCCAAGCUUUGAUUCUUCAGGUCAAGGCAAACAGCAGGCUGAAGGACCGAAAGCUAAGUCCCAUUGCCCUUAACCUAGCAUUUCAGCUAGCAUUUCAUUUCAGCUAGCAUUUCAACCAGGAGCAGCUCUCCUACUAUUCUGUAGAUUAGUAGGAGAGCUAAGGGUAAUGGAUUUGUAGCCCUUGAAUAAAGAUAUUUUUCCAAAAGCUGUCCUUGCAAAUGCACUCACAAAUAUAAAAUUUUUUUCAGUUAACAGUUUUCUGUCAUUAAUAACCACUGUAAUAAUUAGUUCAAAGUGUUCCAAUACGUUUCAUAUCACUAAUAAUUGUUCAGUAUAAAAUAAUUGAAAGAUAAAAUACACUAACUGGCCACUUUCAUAGGUACACAUUCAAGGCUGCCCUGAUUCUUAAUGGCAAGUCUUGGAAAUAUUCCUUGGAGGUUUUGGUCCAUUUGGAUAUGAUAGCAUUGUAUGGUACAUACAUAAAAUACAUAUCCAUGAAAACAAUCGCCAGUUCAGUCAUGUCAAAAAGGGGCUUUAUUGCACCAAGAUCUGGUGACUGUGGAGACCACUGGAGUACAAUGAACUCGUUUUCAUUUUCAAGCAAAUCAUUUCAGAUGUUUGGAGCUUCUUGGCAUAAUGCAUUACUCUGGUGGAAGACGCCAUCAGAAGAUGGCCUCACUGUGGUCAUAAAGGGAUGGACAAGGUCAGCAACAAUACUCAGAUAGGCCGUGGUGCUUAAACAAUGCUCAGACAGCACUAAGGGGCCCGAAGUGUGCCAAGAAAAUCUCACCGCACCAUUAAAGCACCACCAGCCAGAACCGUGGAUAUAAUGCAGGAUAUAUCCAUGCCCUUCAUUUUGUUUAAAUCAAAUUCUGACCCUAAUGUCUGAGUGUCGUUGCCAAAAUCAAGACUUGUUGGACCAGGCAAUGUCUUACUAAACUUUUAUUGUCCAGGUUUGGUGACUGUUUGAAUUGUAGCAUUAGUUUCCUGUUUUUAGCUGAAAGGACUGACACCAGGGGGCUUAUGGUGUGGGGAGAGGUAAUGGUUUCUGGUGCUGUAGUCUGUCUGCUUCAAGGUUAGACUUGUUCUGUGCUCAGAGAUGAAAUGCUGUCUACCUCGGUUGUAACGACUAGUUAUUUAACCUUAUGUUGAAAUCUAUCAUCUUGAACCAGUCUCCACUGACUUCUGACACCAACAAGGCAUUUCUGUCCAUUGCCCCUCUUUGGAUAUGUUCUCUUUGUCAGACCAUUCUCUGUAAACCUGAGAGAUGGUUGUGCAUGUAAAUCUCUGAAGAUCACCAAUUUCUGAAAAAUACUCAGACCAGCCCAUGUGGCACAAACAAAAACGCCCCAUUCAAGUCAUUCCUUGUAGAAAUAAGACACGCACAAACACCGAUGGUCAACAUACUUGUGCAUAAAUAGAUGCACAUAUUUUGUAAAGCUGACCAAGACCUCUGUGGGCUAAAAGUGCAAACAUAGCAAAGAGAGAAAGAGAGAUGGAAGCAAUGAUGGAAUGACCAGCAGACACAUAGAACCAAGAUGUUCCACCCAUUGGAUUAAACCAAGGCCGGAUCUACUUGUUUAACAUUCAAGUGUAUUGUUUCUAUUUACAGUAAUUUGAACAAGAUGCAACAUAAUCGUUUAAUUUCCGAUCGAGGUGUUUAUAUUGUGUAUGUGAUAAUAUAUCUGCAUAUAUAUUCUUUAUAGGCUCUCUGACAAAGCCUUAUUAUCACUAUCCAUUCACCACAGCCCUUUGUACAUCUGAUUCUCAGUUCAAACACCAGCAAAUGUUCACCAUGUCUAGAUUCCUAAAUGCACCUGGCAUUUGAUUGGGUGAUUUACUGUUUUUACUAACAAGCAAUUAAAGAGGUAUACCUAAUAAAGUGCCCGGUGGGUGUGUUUCUCAAUAAAAAAAAAACACAGUAAUGUCUAGAUUGAUGUAUUGUGAUGU
This is a long non-coding RNA of Girardinichthys multiradiatus, 3366 nucleotides long. RefSeq lists it as uncharacterized. NCBI's taxonomy places the organism in Eukaryota, Metazoa, Chordata, Actinopteri, Cyprinodontiformes, Goodeidae. The record is from RefSeq and is a predicted model, not a curated record. The transcript is spliced from 4 exons.